RNAcentral lists this ribosomal RNA (388 nucleotides) under uncultured bacterium. RNAcentral's name for it is "bacterial SSU rRNA". It matches the Rfam family "Bacterial small subunit ribosomal RNA", at positions 28 to 416 of the family's 1533-position model. The record is from RNAcentral.
GACGAGCGCUGGCGGCGUGCUUAACACAUGCAAGUCGAGCGGUAAGGCCCUUUCGGGGGUACGACGAGCGGCGAACGGGUGAGUAACACGUGGGUGACCUGCCCUCAGCUCUGGGAUAAGCCUGGGAAACCGGGUCUAAUACCGGAUAUGACUCCAUGACGCAUGUUGUGGGGUGGAAAGCCUUGUGCGGCUGAGGAUGGGCCCGCGGCCUAUCAGCUUGUUGGUGGGGUGANGGCCUACCAAGGCGACGACGGGUAGCCGGCCUGAGAGGGCGACCGGCCACACUGGGACUGAGACACGGCCCAGACUCCUACGGGAGGCAGCAGUGGGGAAUCUUGCGCAAUGGGCGAAAGCCUGACGCAGCGACGCCGCGUGAGGGAUGACGGCC